GACAGAGGGGGCAAGCGUUGCUCGGAAUUACUGGGCGUAAAGGGCGCGUAGGCGGGAUGGCAAGUCGGUCGUGAAAUCCUUCGGCUCAACCGAAGAACGUCGAUCGAUACUGCUGUUCUUGAGGGUUGCAGAGGAGACUGGAAUUCCCGGUGUAGCGGUGAAAUGUGUAGAGAUCGGGAGGAACACCGGUGGCGAAGGCGGGUCUCUGGGCAUGUCCUGACGCUGAGGAGCGAAAGUGUGGGGAGCGAACAGG
This 253-nucleotide ribosomal RNA is filed under the name uncultured bacterium. RNAcentral describes it as "partial 16S ribosomal RNA". It matches the Rfam family "Bacterial small subunit ribosomal RNA", at positions 524 to 776 of the family's 1533-position model. The record is from RNAcentral.